ACUCCUACGGGAGGCAGCAGUAGGGAAUCUUCCACAAUGGGCGCAAGCCUGAUGGAGCAACACCGCGUGAGUGAAGAAGGGUUUCGGCUCGUAAAGCUCUGUUGUUAAAGAAGAACACGUAUGAGAGUAACUGUUCAUACGUUGACGGUAUUUAACCAGAAAGUCACGGCUAACUACGUGCCAGCAGCCGCGGUAAUACGUAGGUGGCAAGCGUUAUCCGGAUUUAUUGGGCGUAAAGAGAGUGCAGGCGGUUUUCUAAGUCUGAUGUGAAAGCCUUCGGCUUAACCGGAGAAGUGCAUCGGAAACUGGAUAACUUGAGUGCAGAAGAGGGUAGUGGAACUCCAUGUGUAGCGGUGGAAUGCGUAGAUAUAUGGAAGAACACCAGUGGCGAAGGCGGCUACCUGGUCUGCAACUGACGCUGAGACUCAAAAGCAUGGGUAGCGAACAGGAUUAGAUACCCUGGUAGGAUAGCG
RNAcentral lists this ribosomal RNA (473 nucleotides) under uncultured bacterium. RNAcentral describes it as "bacterial SSU rRNA". It matches the Rfam family "Bacterial small subunit ribosomal RNA", at positions 335 to 801 of the family's 1533-position model. The record is from RNAcentral.